AAUGGAGAGUUUGAUCCUGGCUCAGGAUGAACGCUGGCGGCGUGCCUAAUACAUGCAAGUCGAACGCUUCACAUAUGUGAAGAGUGGCGAACGGGUGAGUAAUACAUAAGUAACCUGGCCUUUACAGGGGGAUAACURUUGGAAACGAUAGCUAAGACCGCAUAGGUGUCAUAACCGCAUGGAGAUGAUAUGAAAUAUGCUACGGCAUAGGUAGAGGAUGGACUUAUGGCGCAUUAGCUAGUUGGAGGGGUAACGGCCCACCAAGGCGACGAUGCGUAGCCGACCUGAGAGGGUGACCGGCCACACUGGGACUGAGACACGGCCCAGACUCCUACGGGAGGCAGCAGUAGGGAAUUUUCGGCAAUGGGGGAAACCCUGACCGAGCAACGCCGCGUGAAGGAAGAAGUAAUUCGUUAUGUAAACUUCUGUCAUAGAGG
Molecule: ribosomal RNA, 437 nt
Filed under: Faecalibacillus faecis
Lineage: Bacteria; Bacillati; Bacillota; Erysipelotrichia; Erysipelotrichales; Coprobacillaceae
Description: bacterial SSU rRNA
Rfam family: Bacterial small subunit ribosomal RNA
Source: RNAcentral